CGAAAGCCUGACGGAGCAAUACCGCGUGAGGGAGGAAGGCUCUUGGGUUGUAAACCUCAAAAAUUAGGGAAGAAGAAAGUGACGGUACCUAAUCUAAGCAUCGGCUAACUCCGUGCCAGCAGCCGCGGUAAUACGGAGGAUGCAAGCGUUAUCCGGAAUUAUUGGGCGUAAAGAGUCCGUAGGUGGCAAUUCAAGUCUGUGGUCAAAGACUAGAGCUUAACUCUGGAAAGGCCGUGGAAACUGAAGAGCUAGAGUUCGGGAGGGGUAGAGGGAAUUCCCAGUGUAGCGGUGAAAUGCGUAGAUAUUGGGAAGAACACCGGUGGCGAAAGCGCUCUACUGGACCAUAACUGACGCUGAGGGACGAAAGCUAGGGGAGCG
Molecule: ribosomal RNA, 378 nt
Filed under: uncultured cyanobacterium
Lineage: Bacteria; Bacillati; Cyanobacteriota
Description: bacterial SSU rRNA
Rfam family: Bacterial small subunit ribosomal RNA
Source: RNAcentral